GUGUCAGCCGCCGCGGUAAUACGGAGGGUGCAAGCGUUAUCCGGAUUCACUGGGUUUAAAGGGAGCGCAGGCGGGCUGGUAAGUCAGUGGUGAAAGCCUUGAGCUUAACUCGAGAACUGCCAUUGAUACUAUCAGUCUUGAAUAUUGUUGAGGUUUGCGGAAUGGGUCAUGUAGCGGUGAAAUGCAUAGAUAUGACCCGGAACACCUAUUGCGAAGGCAGCAGGCUAAACAAAGAUUGACGCUGAGGCUCGAAAGCGUGGGGAUCAAACAGGAUUAGAUACCCUGGUAGUCC
Molecule: ribosomal RNA, 292 nt
Filed under: uncultured bacterium
Lineage: Bacteria
Description: partial 16S ribosomal RNA
Rfam family: Bacterial small subunit ribosomal RNA
Source: RNAcentral